GACGAACGCUGGCGGCGUGCUUAACACAUGCAAGUCGAACGGAAAGGCCCUGCUUUUGUGGGGUGCUCGAGUGGCGAACGGGUGAGUAACACUUGAGUAACCUGCCCUUGACUUUGGGAUAACUUCAGGAAACUGGGGCUAAUACCGGAUAGGAGCUCCUGCUGCAUGGUGGGGGUGGGAAAGUUUCGGCGGUUGGGGAUGGACUCGCGGCUUAUCAGCUUGUUGGUUGGGUAGUGGCUUACCAAGGCUUUGACGGGUAGCCGGCCUGGGAGGGUGACCGGCCACAUUGGGACUGAGCUACGGCCCAGACUCCUACGGGAGGCAGGAGAGGGGUAUAUUGCACAAUGGGCGGAAGCCUGAUGCAACCACGCCGCGUGCGGGAAGACGGCCUUCGGGUUGUAAACCGCUUUCGCCUGUGACGAAGCGUGAGUGACGGUAAUGGGUAAAGAAGCACCGGCUAACUACGUG
Molecule: ribosomal RNA, 468 nt
Filed under: uncultured bacterium
Lineage: Bacteria
Description: partial 16S ribosomal RNA
Rfam family: Bacterial small subunit ribosomal RNA
Source: RNAcentral